CCUACGGGAGGCUGCAGUAAGGAAUAUUGGUCAAUGGGCGCAAGCCUGAACCAGCCAUGCCGCGUGCAGGAAGACGGCCUACGGGUUGUAAACUGCUUUUGCAGGGGAAUAUGUACUCUGAGAAUAAGGAUCGGCUAACUCCGUGCCAGCAGCCGCGGUAAUACGGAGGAUCCGAGCGUUAUCCGGAUUUAUUGGGUUUAAAGGGUGCGUAGGCGGCCUGUUAAGUCAGGGGUGAAAGACGGUAGCUUAACUAUCGCAGUGCCCUUGAUACUGAUGGGCUUGAAUGUACUUGAGGUAGGCGGAAUGUGACAAGUAGCGGUGAAAUGCAUAGAUAUGUCACAGAACACCAAUUGCGAAGGCAGCUUACUAAGUUGAUUGACGCUGAGGCACGAAAGCGUGGGGAUCAAACAGGAUUAGAUACCCUGGUAGUC
RNAcentral lists this ribosomal RNA (431 nucleotides) under uncultured bacterium. RNAcentral's name for it is "partial 16S ribosomal RNA". It matches the Rfam family "Bacterial small subunit ribosomal RNA", at positions 338 to 795 of the family's 1533-position model. The record is from RNAcentral.